Long non-coding RNA from Capsella rubella, 455 nucleotides. RefSeq lists it as uncharacterized. The transcript is spliced from 3 exons. Lineage: Eukaryota; Viridiplantae; Streptophyta; Magnoliopsida; Brassicales; Brassicaceae. The record is from RefSeq and is a predicted model, not a curated record.
AAAGAGUUCAUUCAACGCAGAGACUGCAGAUUAAAAAUAAGAAGAAGAAGAAGAAGAAGAAGAAAAACUGCUUCUUUUGUUUCAAUCAGGAAAGCGGUUCUCUUUUGUGCAGAUUUGUUGAGUGAUGGAGUUUAACAUUAGUAACAUAUGGCGCAAAAGGGGAGUUUUUCUGACUACACACCAUCAUCCAUCAAGUAUGCAUAUGCCAACUCAAGUAACUAUUGUGAAGCAGUGACACUGUUGCUGAAGUAUCUUGGUGGAGCUAAACACAACUGGCUCUUCUUGAUCAAGGUUCCUAGUCACUGAGCUGAAAGCAAAUGCCUCAUACCUCUCUCUAAUUGUCCCUGUCCUGUCCCUGUCCCUGUCCCUGAUGGUAAAACAAAACAAAUGCCUCGUGUUGGUCGAGGUAAUCAAAAUUACCUCUCUGAAUGUCCCUGUCCCUAUUGAUAAACAGA